This is a non-coding RNA of Heterocephalus glaber (naked mole-rat), 226 nucleotides long. The record is from RefSeq and is a predicted model, not a curated record. NCBI's taxonomy places the organism in Eukaryota, Metazoa, Chordata, Mammalia, Rodentia, Bathyergidae.
UAGCUAAAGAGGCUCUCCAGAAUGGACUGAGUCUGCUCCCGGAGUUUCUCGGGCUCACCCCGACCCACCUUCCCUCCCUCUAUCAAUCUAUUGCCACCGAUCGCCCUUCUCCCCCACCCCCCACGUCUUCUGCAUGUUAUCUCUGACUCUGGACACACACCAGAUAAUGACAAAUGCCCUUGCAACACCUCUAAAUAGAUCAUCAGCCACAAAAAAAAAAAAAAAA